RNAcentral lists this long non-coding RNA (1170 nucleotides) under Erythranthe guttata (spotted monkey flower). RNAcentral describes it as "long non-coding RNA (EGUT_LNC001697)". Lineage: Eukaryota; Viridiplantae; Streptophyta; Magnoliopsida; Lamiales; Phrymaceae. The record is from RNAcentral.
UCAGUUACUAUCAAUGGGGUUUCAGUUCCACAGGUUCUUAUUCAGUGGGAGAAUUUACCAAUUGAUCAAGCUACUUGGGAGGAUCUAUCUGAUUUUCAGGCUAAAUACCCGACAUUCAAUCCUUGGGGACAAGGAUCAUCUACAGGGGGGGGUAAUGUCAUAGCCUUGAAGGAUUGGGGCUGCAAGAAGAAGAGGAAGAGGGGAGAUUCAAAAGGGAAAGAGAGUGCGCGAAUUCAAAUGAUUGGAGCGGAGGGAAUUAGGGCUGUGAAGAACGACAUCGUUUUGGUUGGAAAGGAGAACGACACCGUUUUAGAGGAAGGAGCGCGUGAGGAAAAAGAUGCUGAAUUACUCGCGCGCGUGUAGGCAAAACAAGCUGCUGGAAACUACUAGUUGAAGGACACGUGUUUUAAUUUUAUUUGUUAAGAAUGAAUAUUUUUAUUUUGGCAGAAACCGUUAUAUGUAGCCAGAAAAGAUGAUUUGGGAAUUAAUCAGAAAAAGUUAUUUUCUCUCUCUAUUCUUGUCUUCUUCUAUCUCUCAUCUCUCUCACUUCUUAUCUAUCUUUCUUCUUCCCCAAGUUCCACCAUUACUGUCUACCAAGCUUUUACAGAUAUUAUAUAUUUAAAUUACAUAUAUAUAUAUAGGCAGGAUCUGACACAAUAGCAUUACGAAUUAACUACAAACGAAAAAUAAUGCGUAAAUUAAAGAAAUAAUACAUUUGAUUUGAGGGCUUAAUGCUUCAAUCUUCAGUAGCGGCAAGAGAACACUUGUUGAACAGAGAGUAGCAGCGGCGGUGGAAGCAAAAAAUCAGAAGGGGGAAAAGAGAAGACAUAACUAGGGUUUUUUUGGGGGCUUUGUUUGCCUCAUUCGGAGAAGCAAGGCCUCCGUUCAACGGCGCCGACCACAUCCGUUAUUGGAAAUUCGGCACCGGCCAGUUUGACCACAGUCAACGCUGAUAUCUCCAUUCGCCUCCGCCAUUAGGGUUUGAUCGGAGUUGUGGACGAUGCUAAAUUCUUAUCCAUGGUGGAUUAAUUUCAUAACCGACCCAAUAAAAAACUUUUUUACUUAUAAUUGAUAUUUCAAAUAUUUAUUUAUUAUUAUUAAAUAGGGUGGAGAUCAGAUGCAACGGAGUGCACCGUAGCCAGAAUAAUCAUCUGAUUUUCAACGCAAACC